This is a long non-coding RNA of Bos taurus (domestic cattle), 436 nucleotides long. The record is from Ensembl. NCBI's taxonomy places the organism in Eukaryota, Metazoa, Chordata, Mammalia, Artiodactyla, Bovidae.
CUCUACCCAUCACCACCUGUCCAUUCUGGAGAUCUGCUUCUGACCUCUUCCCAGAACUGACCGUUUGAAAACUAUAUAUCCCUAAGCAGACAGGAUCUGAGAACCGAGGGUCCACCUGAGUGGGAGGAGUUACUCUUUGAAGGCAACAAGCAUGGAGACUGGAAGUUAAUGAUUAGACCCACCUUCUUGCACAGAAGGAAACUAAAUCCGAUCAACCAGAGGAGCCCGAAGAAAAUGAAUAAGUGGCAGAAAACCUUAUAAAAAGAAAACAAAAAGUCUGCUGCAAAACCACAGCCCCUGUGACAAUCAGAGGGGGAAGACACAGGAGCCCAGAACAGAAAACGACCUCCUGUUGGUUAUAAAUCUGAUGAUAAGGUCCAUGGAGAAUGCUGGAUAUGUGCUCCCUGGCUGUUUGGGCCCCAACAUAGUGGAGCCC